CUUGAGCAACUGCUACGACAGCCAGGCGUUCUGGCCCGAGUCGUCGUCCACUGCCACCACCUUGGUCACCUGGUAGCCCGGCUCGGCCGCCCGGGGCACCAGCUCGGUGCAAGGCGCGGAGCCGUUCUGCAGCGGGUACAGCACGAAGGGCGAGUUGUCGUUGGCGUCCAGCACCAGCACGCGCACCAGGGCCUCGCUGCUCAGCGCCGGGGAGCCGCGGUCUGUGGCGCCCACGCGGAACUCGAACGCCUGCAGGGCCUCGUAGUCCAGCGACCUGAGGGCAAACAGGUGGCCGUUGUCUGCGUUGAUGGAGACGAGGGAGGCGAGGGGCAGGUGCGGGUCCUGGGACGGCAGCAGCGAGUAGGUGACCUGGGCGUUGGUGCCUGAGUCUCUGUCUGUGGCGCUGACACUGCCGAUGUGCAGGGCGGGGCUGUUGUUCUCGCGGACGAACAGAGUGUAGGAGGUUUGGGUGAAGGCGGGGGCGUUGUCAUUGACGUCGGAGACCAGCACGGUUAUGUUGUGCUCGGUUUUCAGCCUGGGUGUCCCCAAGUCGGUGACAGUGAUGGUGAUGUU
RNAcentral lists this non-coding RNA (573 nucleotides) under Pongo abelii (Sumatran orangutan). Lineage: Eukaryota; Metazoa; Chordata; Mammalia; Primates; Hominidae. The record is from RNAcentral.